Molecule: long non-coding RNA, 1075 nt
Filed under: Struthio camelus australis
Lineage: Eukaryota; Metazoa; Chordata; Aves; Struthioniformes; Struthionidae
Description: lncRNA (ENSSCUG00000012408.1)
Source: RNAcentral
UUCCACUGUAACUGUGCCUUUUUGUGACAUGCAGGGGAUCCAUGCUGGUUGAUGAUGGGAAAACUUCAGGAGUGUCACGUGGAGCACGUGGAAGCAUCUCAUGUCAAUACCACGUUUUUAGCUGACUCUUUCUUCUGAAAUCUCUUGUGGAUCCUUGGGUACCAGCAUCUUUAGAUUUUGUAAUUUGUUCCUUCCUACUCCACUCAAGCACUAACUCAAGUAGAAUCCAAAGUCAAAUUUGGAUUUACAGGACAGUAGUUCCUGUCUUCCUUUACACAGCCUUGACGUUUUUCUAUUGACUGUUACAGCCUGUAGAUGAGCUAUCGUUUUUGAACGUGCAGAAAGACACAGUCAGACAACAGGACAGGACCGGCUCUCUUGUGCAACUGCUGCAACUGCGAAAGAUUUUAGAGAAAGAAUAAACUUCUUACCGAGCAGAAUAUACAUCUCCUGGCUUUCCAUUGCCUUCAAUAACAGGAGUCUGUGAGCAAGUGAAGAACUGAGCAGUAAUGUGAAGAGAGCACAAAAGCAGUAAUUUGCCUUUGUGGUCACCCUUUACUCCACGCCAUUCUGGACAGUUCUACUGAAAUGAUGAUUAUAUAGUGGUGACUAUGCGGCACCAAGAGGACAGCUAAGUGCUUCAAUUUGUCAGAAUAUUCUCUACAUUUUUUAGUUCUGCAGUUCUAUGUAGGUUUUUCUAAAUGAGCUGUGACUGAGGGAAGUACAAAAAUUAACUGGGUCUCUUCAGGAUAUAAGAUGUAAAAUUAAAGCGAUCAGAAAGAAGAAACCACGUUUCUCACAGCCAAAGGCUCAACUUCUGUCACUUCAGUGCUGGGCUCUCUCCACCAUUGUCUGCCCUCGGAAUUAGACUCCAGUUGCCGUUUUCUGAAGUACCUCAUUGACUACAGUUUAAAUUUUCCUUGUAUAUGAUUUGAAAAGCCUGGCUAUACUUUCUGUUCACCCCAGCCAUAUCAUUUUCAAUGACUCCUUUAUUCUGAAAUUAAUGACAGUGCAUACUUUGGGGUCCUGUUGUACAGAUCCUAGUAAAAAUUGACGUCAGACUGCUCUAGUCAAC